Molecule: ribosomal RNA, 301 nt
Filed under: uncultured bacterium
Lineage: Bacteria
Description: partial 16S ribosomal RNA
Rfam family: Bacterial small subunit ribosomal RNA
Source: RNAcentral
CAGUCGCCGCGGGAAUACAGAGGGUGCAAGCGUUACUCGGAAUUACUGGGCGUAAAGCGUGCGUAGGUGGUGGUUUAAGUCCGUUGUGAAAGCCCUGGGCUCAACCUGGGAAUUGCAGUGGAUACUGGGUCACUAGAGUGUGGUAGAGGAUAGUGGAAUUUCCGGUGUAGCAGUGAAAUGCGUAGAGAUCGGAAGGAACAUCAGUGGCGAAGGCGACUACCUGGACUGAUACUGACACUGAGGUGCGAAAGCGUGGGGAGCAAACAGGAUUAGAUACCCCUGUAGUCCCUGUCUCUUAUAC